ACCCCUUCUCAUCUCCCUCUGUUUCUCUCACUAAGAUGCAUAGACAGGCCAUAAAUAUGGAUGAACUACCGUCAAUCUCCAGCCUACCCUAUCCGUAGGAUCUAUCAUCUACCGCUAUCAGUUUCUUCAAAAGAACCUUUUGUUUACCUUCCACCACCACUUCCAGUCAGGAAUCGGGACGGGAAUACGGGAGCAUGACCUCAUGUUCAGAUGAACGCUACGGUGUAGCGACGGGUCUAGUGAUCUAUCUGGUGAAUCGCCGGCGUCGGGGAGGUCGGUGGUGGCGGGUGCAGCAGCCAGGCUGCGCGGCCUGAAGGUGUUUGAUUAAAUGGCUCACCGUAAAUACAACGUCUGGCUGAGAAGGCGGAAGGGGAGUCUAUGCUGUCCAGCCAGACAUCGGCGAUGUAGCGGUAAGCCGCUUCCGUCAAGUGGACGCCGUCCCAGAACAGACGAGCAGCCGGCUUCUCACAUAAGUUUGCACCUUCAUCACCGCAGAAAAGUGUCCCAGGCCCUCCGCAACAGAUGGUGACUCCACCAUGUCCAUGAUUGGACCGAAGAGGUCGGCGUAAACGAUCAUGGCCUCCGGGUGCCUGCCCCGGAGCUUGUCAAGGGCAUCCUGCAGCAGCAGGUUGUGGUGCAUCCCUAGCUUGUUGAUAUCUUCCAGGCAACCGGUGGUGGAGUUGUAUUCUGCCGGGGCGGCAUCGGGGAACAAGGCUAGAACCGGCGGUGCGCAUCCCGAUGGGAUUGUCCCCGGAACCACGAAAUUUGU
Molecule: long non-coding RNA, 769 nt
Organism: Aegilops tauschii subsp. strangulata
Lineage: Eukaryota; Viridiplantae; Streptophyta; Magnoliopsida; Poales; Poaceae
Source: RefSeq, a predicted model, not a curated record